RNAcentral lists this ribosomal RNA (420 nucleotides) under Streptomyces cyaneofuscatus. RNAcentral describes it as "bacterial SSU rRNA". It matches the Rfam family "Bacterial small subunit ribosomal RNA", at positions 18 to 442 of the family's 1533-position model. Lineage: Bacteria; Bacillati; Actinomycetota; Actinomycetes; Kitasatosporales; Streptomycetaceae. The record is from RNAcentral.
CAUGGCUCAGGACGAACGCUGGCGGCGUGCUUAACACAUGCAAGUCGAACGAUGAAGCCUUUCGGGGUGGAUUAGUGGCGAACGGGUGAGUAACACGUGGGCAAUCUGCCCUUCACUCUGGGACAAGCCCUGGAAACGGGGUCUAAUACCGGAUAACACUCUGUCCCGCAUGGGACGGGGUUAAAAGCUCCGGCGGUGAAGGAUGAGCCCGCGGCCUAUCAGCUUGUUGGUGGGGUAAUGGCCUACCAAGGCGACGACGGGUAGCCGGCCUGAGAGGGCGACCGGCCACACUGGGACUGAGACACGGCCCAGACUCCUACGGGAGGCAGCAGUGGGGAAUAUUGCACAAUGGGCGAAAGCCUGAUGCAGCGACGCCGCGUGAGGGAUGACGGCCUUCGGGUUGUAAACCUCUUUCAGCAG